Molecule: non-coding RNA, 39 nt
Filed under: unclassified sequences
Description: S4-Bacteroidia ribosomal protein leader
Rfam family: S4-Bacteroidia ribosomal protein leader
Source: RNAcentral
GAUUGCAACUUUCUUCAACCUCUCUUGCAAUCGCGGCUG